RNAcentral lists this ribosomal RNA (254 nucleotides) under uncultured bacterium. RNAcentral describes it as "partial 16S ribosomal RNA". It matches the Rfam family "Bacterial small subunit ribosomal RNA", at positions 524 to 776 of the family's 1533-position model. The record is from RNAcentral.
UACGUAGGGGGCUAGCGUUGUCCGGAUUUAUUGGGCGUAAAGAGCGUGUAGGCGGCCAGGUAGGUCUGCUGUGAAAACUCGAGGCUCAACCUCGAGACGUCGGCGGAAACCAUCUGGCUAGAGUCCGGAAGAGGAGAGUGGAAUUACCUGGUGUAGCGGUGAAAUGCGCAGAGUAUCAGGAAGAACACCCGUGGCGAAGGCGGCUCUCUGGGACGGUACUGACGCUGAGACGCGAAAGCGUGGGAGCGAACAGG